Molecule: non-coding RNA, 569 nt
Organism: Plectropomus leopardus (leopard coralgrouper)
Lineage: Eukaryota; Metazoa; Chordata; Actinopteri; Perciformes; Serranidae
Source: RefSeq, a predicted model, not a curated record
CAUAAAAAACACAGCGGAACCGCAAGGAGAAUGUUAAAAGAAAAUGAUAGCAGAGACGUUGCAAAAAUACAGCGUACAAAAUAUCACGACUUUUUCUAAAGCUGGCACGCUAGUAAAGAACCUGGCUACGACGGUGGUAGCAUUGCUAGCGAAGAGGAGUAUAGAAGCUAUCAGCCCAGCGUUACCGCUUCGACUUGAACCAGACCAGCAGCAUCUGAGGACCCGAGCAUCAGCAGGGCACCGAGGCCGAGACCCACAACCCCGCUGCGACAGCCACCUGUUCACCGCCUCCUCCCCUCGCACCUGGACCCGAGACCCACACCGAGGCGGAGGCGGCCGCUCAGCGGCUCCACAGUGACACCGAAGCGGACUGCAGAGACCCUGAUGCGCCGGCAGGUGACCAAAAACACACCCCAUGUUGUGUUUCAGAGGAGGAUUUGAGGAAAGAAUAGGGGACGCUUCAGCGACUGAAUACCGGCACUCUCAUGAGCCUUCGCUUGCCACUGUGUCACCUGGAAACAAGUUGCAGAGGGGCUAUCCCAGCACACAUGAGGCAAGGAAUGGGGUAC